GACGAACGCUGGCGGCGUGCUUAACACAUGCAAGUCGAACGGAAAGGCCCUGCUUUUGUGGGGUGCUCGAGUGGCGAACGGGUGAGUAACACGUGAGUAACCUGCCCUUGACUUUGGGAUAACUUCAGGAAACUGGGGCUAAUACCGGAUAGGAGCUCCUGCUGCAUGGUGGGGGUUGGAAAGUUUCGGCGGUUGGGGAUGGACUCGCGGCUUAUCAGCUUGUUGGUGGGGUAGUGGCUUACCAAGGCUUUGACGGGUAGCCGGCCUGAGAGGGUGACCGGCCACAUUGGGACUAAGAUACGGCCCAGACUCCUACGGGAGGCAGCAGUGGGGAAUAUUGCACAAUGAGCGGAAGCCUGAUGCAGCAACGCCGCGUGCGGGAUGACGGCCUUCGGGUUGUAAACCGCUUUCGCCUGAGACGAAGCGUGAGUGACGGUAAUGGGUAAAGAAGCACCGGCUAACUACGUG
Molecule: ribosomal RNA, 468 nt
Filed under: uncultured bacterium
Lineage: Bacteria
Description: partial 16S ribosomal RNA
Rfam family: Bacterial small subunit ribosomal RNA
Source: RNAcentral